AGUGUUCUCCUCUACCGGCCAUUACUAAUGGAGUCAUAACCUACACUAUCGACAACACACCUAACUAUGAGCUUGACUCUGUGGCUACUUAUGCCUGUGACCCUGGGUUUGUUCUGGACCUCUCCCUAGGGGGAUCUCAGUUGAGAAGUUGUGUGGAUGAUAAUGGACUGGAUGCUAUUGGAGUGUUUGAUAGACAGGCUCCAAUAUGUGUCCGUAUUAUUUGCCAACCUCUUUUCCCUCACCCCUACGGUACGAUAACCUAUCAUCACGAAACUCCACCUUUCUCAUACGGAACACGAGCUACGUACUCUGUCUCAUGCCCUCCCGAACUAGAGAGAAGGGGAGGAGAUGAUGAGAGGACUUGUACCGCUAAUGGAAAUAGUGCUGUGGGGGUGUGGUCUAGAGCUGCUCCCAUCUGUGCAGGUUUGAAAAGUAAACUUUGUGUAUAAUUAUCCUAUAACGUUAUAGAUCAGGGAGUUUUUCUGUCAUUUCAAGGAACAACCUACACUACGAACAACAGUAAUAUUGUACUCACCAGAAUUGAUACAACAAAUGACACAUCCUUCACCUGUCACACUGACUCAACCACCUGCUGUAGAGGUAAGGACAAGGAGCCAUCUUCAAAUAUGGGUACUGGAGAGUGGCUGUUUCCUAAUGGAACAAGUGUUGUCCGGAAGAAGAGAGUACCUGGUGAUGGGUUCUAUUAUACAAGGUUUCAUCAAGCUAUCAGACUGUAUCGUAAUGAUGAUACCCAGACUCCACUGGGAAUCUACUGCUGUAGAAUACCUGACAAUAGUGGAGUGUUGAGGACAUUCUGUGCUAACCUCAUUGACAACACUAUUCGAUGUCCCUCUAACUCGGUGAUGGCUCCAACUAAUGGGAUGGUCUCGUACUCCAGUCCAGUGGAAAAUGGCAGUUAUGUUUUUGGAACUGUGGCCACCUUUUCCUGCUCACCUGGUUUUGGUCUUGAUGGUACCUCAACUAGAACAUGUGAGACUGAACAGAGAACAUUUAAUGGCACAACCCCAUCUUGUAUAGGUGAGAAAAUAUCGUCUCAGUCUGUACUGUGCCAUAUAAUUUACAUAAACAGCAAUUAUCUGCUCUGCUCUGCCCGGUAUUGUGAAUGGGACGAUUAUCUACUUUGGUAACACAACUGAGCCUUAUGAUUAUAGAACAACAGUUAGGUAUCAGUGCCAUAAAGGAUAUGCGGUAAAAAGAGGAGACAGUGAGAGGACCUGUACUAGUACUGAUAAUGGAAGGAGUUCAGAGGGACAAUGGAGUGGAACUGCUGCAGUUUGUUCUGCUCUCUGUGAUGACAUCACCCUCACCAAUGGAAGGGUGACCUAUGACCCAACCUUUUCUCCAAGAUUGGAAGGAACUACGGCUACUCACGCAUGUAAUAGUGGUUAUGUUCGCUUUGGUGGAUCUUCUAGAAUGUGCCAGCCUGAUCGAAUGUGGAGUGGAGAAAUUGUUACUUGCAACGGUAUGAGUAAGUGAUAACCUGUACAUUUUGUACUUUGUUUUUUUAUAGCCAUCAUCUGCCCACCUCUUACUGAAACUUCCUAUGGUCCAAUAUCCUACUCUCCAAACACUUCCCCAUACUUAUUUGGAACACGAGCAACGUACACUGUUACAUGCCCUCUGGGACAGGAGAGGAGAGGAGGAGAUGAUGUGAGGAUUUGUUUGGAUGAUGGACAUAGUACUAUUGGGGUGUGGACUGGUACUGCUCCCGUCUGUGCAGUUCGGAUAUAUCUGUCUUUUCAAGGGGGAAAAUAUGCAACGAACAAUAGUAAUAUUUUAGUGACCAGGAUUGGGACCACAAAUAACACUGACUUGACCUGUCACACUGACUCAACCACCUGCUGUAGGGGUCAGGACAAUUUAAACGGAUUUAACGGUAUUGGGGAGUGGGUUUUUCCUAAUGGGGAAAAGGUUGCACAAAACAACGUCACUUAUGAUGGGUUUUAUUGGAUCAGAUACUAUCAAAGUGUCAGACUCUAUCGUCAAGGUGAUAUCCAGACUCCACUGGGACGUUACUGCUGUAGAAUACCUGAUGGUACUGGAGUGAACAGAACAUUUUGUGUUAACCUCAUUGACAACACCAUUCGAUGUGCUUCUGACUCAGUAAUGGCUCCCAUUAAUGGGAUGGUCUCAUACUCUAGUCCAGUGGAGAAUGGUAGUUACGUUUUUGGAACGAUGGCCACUUUUUUCUGCUUAUCUAGUUUUGGCCUCAGUACUCUUGAGACUAGAACAUGCACAGGAACAAAUGAUGCUGAAAUGGGAACCUUCAGUGGCUUAAGUCCAACAUGUGAUGGU
Halichondria panicea is the source of this 2316-nucleotide long non-coding RNA. RefSeq lists it as uncharacterized. The transcript has 6 exons. Lineage: Eukaryota; Metazoa; Porifera; Demospongiae; Suberitida; Halichondriidae. The record is from RefSeq and is a predicted model, not a curated record.